GAUGAACGCUGGCGGCGUGCCUAAUACAUGCAAGUCGAGCGAACGGACGAGAAGCUUGCUUUUCUGAUGUUAGCGGCGGACGGGUGAGUAACACGUGGAUAACCUACCUAUAAGACUGGGAUAACUUCGGGAAACCGUAGCUAAUACCGGAUAAUAUUUUGAACCGCAUGGUUCAAAAGUGAAAGACGGUCUUGCUGUCACUUAUAGAUGGAUCCGCGCUGCAUUAGCUAGUUGGUAAGGUAACGGCUUACCAAGGCAACGAUGCAUAGCCGACCUGAGAGGGUGAUCGGCCACACUGGAACUGAGACACGGUCCAGACUCCUACGGGAGGCAGCAGUAGGGAAUCUUCCGCAAAGGGCGAAAGCCUGACGGAGCAACGCCGCGUGAGUGAUGAAGGUCUUCGGAUCGUAAAACUCUGUUAUUAGGGAAGAACAUAUGUGUAAGUAACUGUGCACAUCUUGACGAUACCUAAUCAGAAAGCCACGGCUAACUACGUG
This 497-nucleotide ribosomal RNA is filed under the name uncultured bacterium. RNAcentral describes it as "partial 16S ribosomal RNA". It matches the Rfam family "Bacterial small subunit ribosomal RNA", at positions 28 to 507 of the family's 1533-position model. The record is from RNAcentral.